CUCGGGGAGCGGACGGAGGGUCGACAGAAGCGGCCGAGGGGCCGCGCAGCCCGGAGUCGGUCCGGUGCCCGGUGCCGGAGUCGGCGCCCGCCGGCGGCCGUGGGAGGGUCGGUUCUUUGUGCGCCCCGCGGGGUUUGAGCCGCACGGCAAUUGGCAAAGCUCGUUCUUCCCGGAAGGGCACCCGCUCCUCAAAGUGCGGCCAAGCGCAAAGCUGCCCGGCCGAGAGAGACUUAAACUCCGCACCGCUCCGAGCAUCUCCCAGCCCCGACGGCAGCCGCGCAGCACCGAGCCCGCACCUCCGAACGAUUUUUCUUUUCCCUUUCCCAUCGGGCCCGGAGCGGCAGCAGAGCCCCUCACAGUGCAUUGCCCAAAUACACCAGAAACGAAUCGCUCUCAGGCAGAGGGGCGGCGGAGGGCCGCGUUGUCCAGGCCCCAUCCCGGAGUCCGAGUGGCCGCCACCGCGCCCCGCUGCUGCCCGCGGCUCUUUCCCACGCGUGGGUCGGGCCGGGGGCAGCAGCCCCGGGUCACAGUCCCGUGGCCGAGGGUGGCCGGGCGCUGCCCUCCCGCAGCCCCGCGCAAACCCCGCCGCAACAAAGAGCCAUAAACCCCCACCCCCAGUGCGGCUCGGGCCAACUCCUGGGACUGGAGGAGGGUGAGGAUGGCCACGGGCUGAGGCCGCCUCAGCAGAGCGGUGAGAGGGCUCGGCCUCGGCAUCCGCCAGCAGAAACCGAGGGCGAGGAGAAGGGGCAGCCCGGCUGCGGCCUCUCUCCCCGUCGGGGCUCUGCGGAGCCGCCGUGAGCAGCGCAGAGCAGUGCCCGGCUCGGGGAGCUGCCGGCCGGGCCGUGCCCUCCUUCACGAGCCUCGGGACACCGAUUCAGCCUCUACUCGAGCGAACGAGGUGAGGAACGAGUGCUUUCCUUGCCGACAUCUGUCAGAACGGCUGUGGGCGAGCCCAGUUCGCUGCACACACCCUGCCAUCCACCUGCAGACAGCGUGCUCUACCACCACCGCUCCGUGGGCUUUUCCAUCUUCUCUUUCCCUCAGAACAAGCAACCACACGGGCAGGCCUCCCGUCGGCAGCACACGCCGAGCUGGGCACGGAGCAGCCCGGCGGGCACCAAGGCGGCCACCCCGCGUCCAUCCCCUCGGGCUCGGGCCUGACCCGCUCCCGGGACCGGCCGAGCCCCUGCCCGCCCCACACGUGAGCGCUGGGAAAGACGCACGGCUCCCUCCGAGCCCCCCGAAGCGUCCUGCAGAGGGCAGAGGCUGCCCGCAUUCCGCAGCCGACCCGGCGGGAUAUUGACCAAGGACUUCAAAUCCAUACCCGGCUUAAACAUUUUACCCGUCAGCACGUCUGCGGUCACAAAACACUUCUUCUUUCUGUCACUUCGCUUCGAAACUAUUGAUAAGAUCAUUUAGCUGAAUCUGUUCGGGAUGAGUGUAAUAUUGACUAGGAGUUAGAAAAGAUGAUUAAAUCUAAUAAGCCGAGAAACUCUCGGGGAGGGGGAAGAGAGAGCAGGACGUUGCCCUACGAAGCCGAGCAGAGCCCCAAAGGCCGUAGCACCUCCGCCACACGCCGCAGCCGGCACCCGAUACACGGCCCCGAUACACGGCACCCGGCCCCGGUACUCGGUACCCGGUCCCGGAUCACGCAGCCGCCCCUCUCAGGCCCCGCAGCCCGGCCUUAACGGCGCUCCCCACGGAGAAGCUCCGCCUUUCCCUUCUUUUCUCCCUUUCUUCCUCUUUUCUCCCUUUCUUUCCUCUUUCUUUUUGGCACGGGGGAGGAGAGCCGGCUGUCGCGUUCUAGGAAGGCCGCUCAGAGCAGAGUCCUCUCUCCUCGGCCCGGCCCUCCUCCUCCUCCAACACCGCAGCGCAAACGGAGCGGAGCAUCAGAGCCGGGGAGGGACGGCACCGCUCCGCACAGCAUCACCGCUCGGCCCGCUCCGCUGCGGGGAACGCAGCCCCCGAGCUCCGCUCCCGCAUCACGAGCCUUUGGAGCGGGGCAGCGCUCGGUGCGGACGCGGAACCGCUUCCCCUAUUCCGUGCGAUAUAAAGGGCUGGAGGUGAUUGCACUGAGCUCACGGCGCUGCGGUGCUCUCCCCUCCCGACUUCAGAGCUACGGCAAUCUGUGCUGUCUUUCGAAAUGAAACAAAAGGGAUUUCAAUAAGUCGAACAAACUAUGAAGGUAUUGUGCAUUUCUGUUUUAUGUAGAUAAUAAAAUAUUACUUUAACAUAAAUAUAUAAGGAUC
RNAcentral lists this long non-coding RNA (2249 nucleotides) under Coturnix japonica (Japanese quail). RNAcentral's name for it is "lncRNA (ENSCJPG00005000136.1)". Lineage: Eukaryota; Metazoa; Chordata; Aves; Galliformes; Phasianidae. The record is from RNAcentral.